Triticum urartu is the source of this 140-nucleotide non-coding RNA. NCBI's taxonomy places the organism in Eukaryota, Viridiplantae, Streptophyta, Magnoliopsida, Poales, Poaceae. The record is from Rfam.
CAAGUACUCCCUCCGUCCGAAAAUACCUGUCAUCAAAAUGGACAAAAAAAGAUGUAUCUAGAACUAAAAUACAUCUAGAUACAUCACUCUUUAUUCAUUUUCAUGACAUGACAAGUAUUUCCGGACGAAGAGAAUAGGAC